UUGUAUCACCAGUGCUUAUAUGCCUGACAUCCAGUAAGAACUUAACUGACUAGUAUCUACCUGGUACCAACCCCUGGAGAAACAUGGAGAUCCUGCUUCUGAGAGUGCAUGAGAGAAGGGCAGCCUUUUUCCUACACACUCAGAGCAUGUAAUGGUAUCUUCUGUUUCUUGUCAACUUAUUGUCGGGCUCAUAAACACUCUAGUUAUUAGGUGAGCUGGAAGUGAAUGUGGGUAUGAGAUACCAACAGAUGAAGGUUCAGUCUCCUUGGGUACUUUCAAGUGAGGAAAAAGAAAUGCUGUAAAACUGAGUAAGAGAGCAUUUCUCUAGCUGUUCACCACCAUGUGACUGUGAAUAUGGAACACCUCGUUUCUUCUCCUAAUGGCAGAUGAGCCAGCCUUGAGGAGUGACCUAAGGGACUGAUCCCAGAAGUGAAGCUACUCAGCUCUUGAGAUGCUAUGUCCUACAAGCAAGGGAAUAACUUGUCCAUUAUAACUAUCUCACACCUAAUGAAUUUGAUGAGAAGCAAUCAUUAGACCACCAUGUAACAUGUCUUUACCUAUUAUGAGAAGAGGGAAAUAGUGGCUUCUGACAGUGACAGCCUUGAAGGAGGAAAAAAAUCUUCUACUGGGUAGAACAAAUGCCUUGCCAAUUGAAAUAUUAAAGCAACCAUUUCUUCUUU
Sarcophilus harrisii (Tasmanian devil) is the source of this 680-nucleotide long non-coding RNA. RefSeq lists it as uncharacterized. The transcript has 2 exons. The record is from RefSeq and is a predicted model, not a curated record. Lineage: Eukaryota; Metazoa; Chordata; Mammalia; Dasyuromorphia; Dasyuridae.